RNAcentral lists this ribosomal RNA (397 nucleotides) under uncultured bacterium. RNAcentral describes it as "partial 16S ribosomal RNA". It matches the Rfam family "Bacterial small subunit ribosomal RNA", at positions 523 to 918 of the family's 1533-position model. The record is from RNAcentral.
AUACGUAGGGGGCGAGCGUUGUCCGGAAUGAUUGGGCGUAAAGGGCGCGUAGGCGGCCCGAUAAGUCUGGAGUGAAAGUCCUGUUUUUAAGAUGGGAAUUGCUUUGGAUACUGUCGGGCUUGAGUGCAGGAGAGGUAAGUGGAAUUCCCAGUGUAGCGGUGAAAUGCGUAGAGAUUGGGAGGAACACCAGUGGCGAAGGCGACUUACUGGACUGUAACUGACGCUGAGGCGCGAAAGUGUGGGGAGCAAACAGGAUUAGAUACCCUGGUAGUCCACACUGUAAACGAUGAAUGCUAGGUGUAGGGGGUAUCGACCCCUUCUGUGCCGCAGUCAACACAAUAAGCAUUCCGCCUGGGGAGUACGGCCGCAAGGUUGAAACUUAAAGGAAUUGACGGGG